This 423-nucleotide ribosomal RNA is filed under the name uncultured bacterium. RNAcentral's name for it is "bacterial SSU rRNA". It matches the Rfam family "Bacterial small subunit ribosomal RNA", at positions 355 to 794 of the family's 1533-position model. The record is from RNAcentral.
UGGGGAAUAUUGGGCAAUGAGGAAACUCUUACCCAGCAAUGCCGCGUGAAUGAAGAAGGCCUUUUGGUUGUAAAGUUCUUUAGUCAGGGACGAAAAAAUGACGGUACCUGAAGAAUAAGCUCCGGCUAACUACGUGCCAGCAGCCGCGGUAAUACGUAGGGAGCGAGCGUUGUCCGGAAUGACUGGGCGUAAAGGGUGUGUAGGUGGUUUGGCAAGUUAGAAGUGUAAUACCUGAGCUUAACUUAGGUGCUGCUUUUAAAACUGUUAGACUUGAGUGCAGUAGAGGUUAGUGGAAUUCCUAGUGUAGCGGUGGAAUGCGUAGAUAUUAGGAGGAACACCAGAGGCGAAGGCGGCUAACUGGACUGUAACUGACACUGAAACACGAAAGUGUGGGGAGCAAACAGGAUUAGAUACCCUGGUAGU